GACGAACGCUGGCGGCGUGCUUAACACAUGCAAGUCGAACGGAAAGGCCCUGCUUUUGUGGGGUGCUCGAGUGGCGAACGGGUGAGUAACACGUGAGUAACCUGCCCUUGACUUUGGGAUAACUUCAGGAAACUGGGGCUAAUACCGGAUAGGAGCUCCUGCUGCAUGGUGGGGGUUGGAAAGUUUCGGCGGUUGGGGAUGGACUCGCGGCUUAUCAGCUUGUUGGUGGGGUAGUGGCUUACCAAGGCUUUGACGGGUAGCCGGCCUGAGAGGGUGACCGGCCACAUUGGGACUGAGAUACGGCCCAGACUCCUACGGGAGGCAGCAGUGGAGAAUAUUGCACAAUGGGCGGAAGCCUGAUGCAGCAACGCCGCGUGCGGGAUGACGGCCUUCGGGUUGUAAACCGCUUUCGCCUGUGACGAAGCGUGAGUGACGGUAGUGGGUAAAGAAGCACCGGCUAACUACGUG
This 468-nucleotide ribosomal RNA is filed under the name uncultured bacterium. Its description in RNAcentral is "partial 16S ribosomal RNA". It matches the Rfam family "Bacterial small subunit ribosomal RNA", at positions 28 to 507 of the family's 1533-position model. The record is from RNAcentral.